GCACAAGCGGUGGAUGAUGUGGUUUAAUUCGAUGCAACGACGAAAACCUUACCCACCUUUGACAUGUACGGAAUCCUUUAGAGAUAGAGGAGUGCUCGAAGGAGAGCCGUAACACAGGUGCUGCAUGGCUGUCGUCAGCUCGUGUCGUGAGAUGUUGGGUUAAGUCCCGCAACGAGCGCAACCCUUGUCAUUAGUUGCUACAUUCAGUUGGGCACUCUAAUGAGACUGCCGGUGACAAACCGGAGGAAGGUGGGGAUGACGUCAAGUCCUCAUGGCCCUUAUAGGUGGGGCUACACACGUCAUACAAUGGAUGGUACAAAGGGUCGCCAACCCGCGGGGGGGAGCCAAUCCCAUAAAGCCAUUCGUAGUCCGGAUCGCAGUCUGCAACUCGACUGCGUGAAGUCGGAAUCGCUAGUAAUCGUGGAUCAGCAUGUCACGGUGAAUACGUUCCCGGGUCUU
RNAcentral lists this ribosomal RNA (459 nucleotides) under uncultured Acidovorax sp. RNAcentral's name for it is "bacterial SSU rRNA". It matches the Rfam family "Bacterial small subunit ribosomal RNA", at positions 923 to 1382 of the family's 1533-position model. The record is from RNAcentral. Lineage: Bacteria; Pseudomonadati; Pseudomonadota; Betaproteobacteria; Burkholderiales; Comamonadaceae.